Carassius gibelio (silver crucian carp) is the source of this 841-nucleotide non-coding RNA. NCBI's taxonomy places the organism in Eukaryota, Metazoa, Chordata, Actinopteri, Cypriniformes, Cyprinidae. The record is from the annotation of a RefSeq genome assembly.
UCCUGUUCAACAAAAGCUAGAGUUUGAAUCAGUUCAAAGGUUGAGACUCACUCUCCCUUCAAAACUCAACAUGACUAGUGCUAUUAUUACAUUGAUUCUGUUCCUGCGCUGCAGUCAAGCUGCUGUGGGUGGAGAUGGUGUUUUUCAAGAGCCUAAAAUUCUCUUGGAACCAAAGAGUGGUUCUGCUUCUUUGAACUGCAAUCACAAUAAGGGAGGUUUAUACUUCCAGAUGUACUGGUACCGACAGCGUCCAGGAGAGACUAUGAGGCUCAUUGUAUUCACUAUGACUGGUGGUAAUCCAGAAUUUGGAGAUGUUGAUGUGAAGAGAUUUGAAGCUCACAAAAGUGUUGCUGAAAGUGGAUCGUUGAAAGUGAAAGAUCUCGAGCCAGGCGACAGUGGCAUAUAUUUCUGUGCCGUGAGUCAACACAGUGUGUCAAAGGCUGGAGAAUGCUGUACAAAAACAUUCGGUGCAGAAAAAGACAAUGACAGCAUUAGUCAACAGGUGGCAGUCUGGUAUAACAAUAAGCAACAUUUCAAAACAGCUGAAACAAAACAUUUAGAAGUAUCAUAGGUACAAGUUACAGUCUAUUGACACCAUCUAUGGCAAUUUGUCCAUUUUCACAGAAAAUAACUUCAACUUAAUUUGUAAAAUUAUUUGUUUGUAGAAUAGUAAAAAUAGAUGUCUAUAGGUCAACUAUUUUAAUUAAAAUGCAGAGUUGGAGUGUCAGCUCAGUUUUCCCAUGAACCUUAUGAAUGAACAUUAUUGGGGCAUUUUGUUGUAAACAAACGAUUAUAUCUUUAUUCUAAAGUCAGAUGGAACCAAAUUUCGUUUAACCUCCAG